ACAUUGAUAGCUUAAUUAUAGAGCACAGCACUGAAGAUGCUGGGGUAACAAAUAUUGUUUCAAAGUA
This 67-nucleotide transfer RNA is filed under the name Bathytoma punicea. RNAcentral describes it as "tRNA-Phe". It matches the Rfam family "tRNA". Rfam says of the family: Transfer RNA (tRNA) molecules are approximately 80 nucleotides in length. Their secondary structure includes four short double-helical elements and three loops (D, anti-codon, and T loops). The record is from RNAcentral. Lineage: Eukaryota; Metazoa; Mollusca; Gastropoda; Neogastropoda; Conidae.